UACGUAGGGGGCAAGCGUUAUCCGAAUUUACUGGGUGUAAAGGGAGCGUAGACGGCACGGCAAGCCAGAUGUGAAAGCCCGGGGCUCAACCCCGGGACUGCAUUUGGAACUGCUGAGCUAGAGUGUCGGAGAGGCAAGUGGAAUUCCUAGUGUAGCGGUGAAAUGCGUAGAUAUUAGGAGGAACACCAGUGGCGAAGGCGGCUUGCUGGACGAUGACUGACGUUGAGGCUCGAAAGCGUGGGGAGCAAACAGG
Molecule: ribosomal RNA, 253 nt
Filed under: Dorea longicatena
Lineage: Bacteria; Bacillati; Bacillota; Clostridia; Lachnospirales; Lachnospiraceae
Description: partial 16S ribosomal RNA
Rfam family: Bacterial small subunit ribosomal RNA
Source: RNAcentral